AUUGAACGCUGGCGGCAUGCUUUACACAUGCAAGUCGAACGGCAGCGCGGGCUUCGGCCUGGCGGCGAGUGGCGAACGGGUGAGUAAUACAUCGGAACGUGCCCAGUAGUGGGGGAUAGCUCGGCGAAAGCCGGAUUAAUACCGCUUACGACCUGAGGGUGAAAGCGGGGGAUCUUCGGACCUCGCGCUAUUGGAGCGGCCGAUGGCAGAUUAGCUAGUUGGUGGGGUAAAGGCCUACCAAGGCGACGAUCUGUAGCUGGUCUGAGAGGACGACCAGCCACACUGGGACUGAGACACGGCCCAGACUCCUACGGGAGGCAGUAGUGGGGAAUUUUGGACAAUGGGCGAAAGCCUGAUCCAGCAAUGCCGCGUGUGUGAUGAAGGCCUUCGGGUUGUAAAGCACUUUUGGCGGGAACGAAAAGGACUGUGCCAAUACCACGGUUCGAUGACGGUACCCGCAGAAUAAGCACCGGCUAACUACGUG
This 484-nucleotide ribosomal RNA is filed under the name uncultured bacterium. RNAcentral's name for it is "partial 16S ribosomal RNA". It matches the Rfam family "Bacterial small subunit ribosomal RNA", at positions 29 to 507 of the family's 1533-position model. The record is from RNAcentral.